Long non-coding RNA from Myotis davidii, 460 nucleotides. RefSeq lists it as uncharacterized. Lineage: Eukaryota; Metazoa; Chordata; Mammalia; Chiroptera; Vespertilionidae. The transcript is spliced from 2 exons. The record is from RefSeq and is a predicted model, not a curated record.
CAGCAAGAGGCCCCCCCGCAGCGGCUCCCGACUGUCGGGCUCGCCAGCCUCGGCUUCCUACAUGGAAGAUCCGCGGGGGCAAAAAACGGAAGGCGUUCGGCUGAGCUGCUGGAAGGAGUAACCGGAUCUCCUCAAAUUCCGUGCACACGAAGACUCGGAGGAGGGGUCCGAGCGGACUUCACCCCGCAUGAGAUGUCUGGCGAAAUAAAGGCUCAAAAUCUAAUAACCAAAUAUGCAAAGCCCCGAAUGAAAAACACCACCACCUCCUCGCACACUGGAGAUCUGGGGCCGUCAGACUUGAGCUGGGGUUUAAAAAAAAAAAAAGAAAAAGAAAAUGUUUACAAAGUAGAACAAGACGUUUGAAGGGUGGAAAAAAAUGUAUCCACGAGUUACAUCUCCCCUUCUUCCUUGCAGAUCCCCGCUGGUCUUCCUCUCCGUUUCUUCUGCCAAAAAAAAAAAA